UUCUUGCAAGGCGUAUUUUCGUCCCAAGAGGUGACGUUUUUGUCACGUGCUUCACGUUCGACCAAUCGGGUAGCCGCGCAAAUCCAAGAUGGCGAUGUCAACAACGUCUAGCGCUGAAGAGGAAAAUACUCUAAAUUACCUUUAAAAAAGUUUGAAAAAAGAACAACAAAAUAUGCUACAAGCAUGUUACGUCUGUUAGGAAUGAAGAGGUGAAUGAUUUCACUAUCAGAAGGUGGGAUACUUACAGGAAUUGUUUAAAACGGUGGCUUUGCUGUGAUGGCGAGUCUCAUAAAGUAGCCGAGUCAUUCAAAUCCUGUAUCGAUGUUGAAUUUAAAGAUAUUCCUGAUGACGCUGGGCUUCACCCGACUUGUUACCGGCGGUUCAUUGAUAAGAAGCGUUUGGAUUCUACCGAAAAACUGGCCAAUCGGCUGGAUGUGGGUCAAGAUGAGUUUGUGGCAUCGGACAUUCCAAAGAAAAAACUUAGAUCGAAGACGGGCUUGCCUAUCGGUUCUGCUGGCCCUGUGCUUCCUGCCAUUUGGAUCAUUUGCAAGAAAACGUACAAGAGAGUUACUGUGGGAGGCAAACGACAGAGGGACCAUCUUUCACAGAAGUGAACCAACCUUUGAUGCCAGCUACAACAUAUUCUGCGAGAGGAUCAUCCGCCAAAGAAUAAUUGUUAAUCAGGAGGUGCUGAGAAUGAAACAGCUAUGACAAAAGUUUUUAAAUAUGGUGCAAAAACAUGAAGAUUGUGAUGCUUCAAACUACGGGCAGGAUCAAUUAAAGAGAAGGCUGACUGGACUUUCCCCAACUGGUGUUUCAAGCGCAACAUCUGCGAACUGGAUUUUGUUGAGACAUUGUCUGCAGAUAAGCUGAUAGACAGGCUACCUCAUCCAUCAGGUACAGACACAACUGAGUCAACUGCAGUAAGCCAAGGUGAAAGUGACACUGAACACAUGGCAAGAACAACAGCUGGUCCGCAAACUACUGAGAACUCGAGGACACUUUAAUGCAGCACUGAUAUUGAAGCAGCUACUAUGUGACUCUCCCGGUAUGACGUGCCCCUGGCCACCCACAUCAGAUGAUUUUAAAUGUGUCCGAUGCAAAAUCUGUUGUGCCACUUGAACUGUACAAUGUUAUUGCUUGGAUUGUAGGUGCAACAGAGGAACCAACAUUAGCCUGUUAUGUUGAUAUUCCAGAAGAUGUUAACCUAAAAGUGAUAUCUGUUUGUCAAGACAUUAUGUAUCUUGCAUCUAAAGGUCAGAGGCAGACACUCAAAUCAUUAUGUCUUGGUCUAAGUAUUGGACAUUUAACAGGUUCCUCACAAGUUGUGUCACUGCUGAGUGGACUAGGACAUUGUGCUUCAUGAGACAUUCUCUCAAAGGUAUAAUGUCUGCCCCUUCACCCAAUGGCAAUGGAUGGCACAUUGAGAGUGGGGAGUUAAAAGUGACAUGGAUGACUACAAAUCCUGCCCCUGAUAGUGUGUUAAAGGUAGUCCACUGCGGCUGCAAGCAGAGCAAAUGUGAGACAGGAAGAUGUUCCUGUAUGUCUGCAAGACUGCCCUGUACUGAUUUGUGUCGGUGCCAAAAUUGUGCCAAUAUUUCCAUGGAAACAGAGGAUAAAAGCACAUGGGAAGAUGGCUCUGAUGAUAAUAAUAGCUAAGAGAUGAACAAUGUCUCCCUCCUUCAGAAUACGCAAAGUCACAGUUAAUCAGUUAGUUCUCUAAUAAAAAAUUUAUUUUUUGCCCCAUUUGAGAAAAAUCCCUCAGAGUAUUUUACUAUUUCUUUUUUUUAAAGUUACUUCAGGUAAAUACUUUAAAAAUAGAAUGAGAGGUUACAGUGCAGUUGACCUUAACAUUUUUUAUAAUAAUCAUAGUUUGUUUGUGCCAAAUUUGAGGAAAAUCUAGAAAAUCUCAAAGAAUUCUUCAGAUAUGGCUUUAACAAUGUGCAAAGUUAAGACAAAAUAAUAAAAAAUGUAUUUGAAGAAAUACUCAAGACCUGCUGUGACAUCAACACAUUGUUUUGUUCAUGUAAAUAUUGUUUUGUACCAUAUUGUGUACAGAUUCUAAACUGUAAUGCAGUUUUUUAUGUAUUUCCAUUUUUCGGCAUUAUUUGAUAAUUUGAUUGAUGUCAGCCAUUUUGGGCCAAAGUGUUCUUUAUUUUAUUACAUUUUUUACUUCCUCUUAUAACACAGUAUCUACUGAAAUUUUUAAUGUAUAAAACAUCAUUGUUUAGCAAAAUGUACCAUGUGUAUGUUCAGAUGUACAGGUUGCUAUUCACUUAUUUUGA
Molecule: RNA transcript, 2285 nt
Organism: Entelurus aequoreus (snake pipefish)
Lineage: Eukaryota; Metazoa; Chordata; Actinopteri; Syngnathiformes; Syngnathidae
Exons: 3
Source: RefSeq, a predicted model, not a curated record